Molecule: ribosomal RNA, 253 nt
Filed under: uncultured bacterium
Lineage: Bacteria
Description: partial 16S ribosomal RNA
Rfam family: Bacterial small subunit ribosomal RNA
Source: RNAcentral
UACGAGAGGCCCAAACGUUAUUCGGAAUUACUGGGCUUAAAGAGUUCGUAGGCGGCGCGGAAAGUAGGGUGUGAAAGCCCUCGGCUCAACCGAGGAAUUGCGCUCUAAACUACCGUGCUUGAGGGACCUAGAGGUAAGCGGAACUGAUGGUGGAGCGGUGAAAUGCGUUGAUAUCAUCAGGAACACCGGAGGCGAAGGCGGCUUACUGGGGGUCUUCUGACGCUGAGGAACGAAAGCCAGGGGAGCGAACGGG